GAUGAACGCUAGCUACAGGCUUAACACAUGCAAGUCGAGGGGAAACGAUAGAGAAAGCUUGCUUUUUCUAGGCGUCGACCGGCGCACGGGUGAGUAACGCGUAUCCAACCUGCCCACCACUUGGGGAUAACCUUGCGAAAGUAAGACUAAUACCCAAUGACGUCUCUAGAAGACAUCUGAAAGGGAUUAAAGAUUUAUCGGUGAUGGAUGGGGAUGCGUCUGAUUAGCUUGUUGGCGGGGUAACGGCCCACCAAGGCUACGAUCAGUAGGGGUUCUGAGAGGAAGGUCCCCCACAUUGGAACUGAGACACGGUCCAAACUCCUACGGGAGGCAGCAGUGAGGAAUAUUGGUCAAUGGGCGAGAGCCUGAACCAGCCAAGUAGCGUGCAGGAUGACGGCCCUAUGGGUUGUAAACUGCUUUAUAAGGGAAUAAAGUGAGCCUCGUGAGGCUUUUUGCAUGUACCUUAUGAAUAAGGACCGGCUAAUUCCGUG
This 491-nucleotide ribosomal RNA is filed under the name uncultured bacterium. RNAcentral describes it as "bacterial SSU rRNA". It matches the Rfam family "Bacterial small subunit ribosomal RNA", at positions 28 to 507 of the family's 1533-position model. The record is from RNAcentral.